This 72-nucleotide transfer RNA is filed under the name Streptomyces phage Shaeky. Its description in RNAcentral is "tRNA-Gln". It matches the Rfam family "tRNA". Rfam says of the family: Transfer RNA (tRNA) molecules are approximately 80 nucleotides in length. Their secondary structure includes four short double-helical elements and three loops (D, anti-codon, and T loops). The record is from RNAcentral. Lineage: Duplodnaviria; Heunggongvirae; Uroviricota; Caudoviricetes; Colingsworthviridae.
UUCCCGUUCGUCUAACGGCAAGACGCGAGGCUCUGAACCUCGAAAUUGUGGUUCGAAUCCAUGGCGGGAAGC